Molecule: ribosomal RNA, 275 nt
Filed under: uncultured bacterium
Lineage: Bacteria
Description: partial 16S ribosomal RNA
Rfam family: Bacterial small subunit ribosomal RNA
Source: RNAcentral
CCUACGGGUGGCUGCAGUGGGGAAUUUUGGACAAUGGGGGCAACCCUGAUCCAGCAAUGCCGCGUGAGUGAAGAAGGCCCUCGGGUUGUAAAGCUCUUUUGUCAGGGAAGAAAAGGCUGCGGCUAAUAUCCGCGGCUCAUGACGGUACCUGAAGAAUAAGCACCGGCUAACUACGUGCCAGCAGCCGCGGUAAUACGUAGGGUGCAAGCGUUAAUCGGAAUUACUGGGCGUAAAGCGUGCGCAGGCGGUUUCGUAAGUCUGACGUGAAAUCCCCG